RNAcentral lists this ribosomal RNA (148 nucleotides) under Geotrichum pseudocandidum. Its description in RNAcentral is "Galactomyces pseudocandidus partial large subunit ribosomal RNA". It matches the Rfam family "Eukaryotic large subunit ribosomal RNA", at positions 99 to 261 of the family's 3401-position model. The record is from RNAcentral. Lineage: Eukaryota; Fungi; Ascomycota; Dipodascomycetes; Dipodascales; Dipodascaceae.
CGGCAAAAGCUCAAAUUUGAAAUCGGCCAUCAGGUCGAGUUGUAAUUUGUAGAUUGUACUUUGAGAGCGGAUUAAAGUCUGUUGGAACACAGCGCCUUAGAGGGUGACAGCCCCGUAAAAUCUAUUCUCAUUGUAAGGUACUUUCGAA